AUCUAGGGCCAUGCCAUCCUGAAUAAGCCUGAUUCCGUCUGAUCUCCGAAGCUAAGCAGGAUCGGGCCUGGCAAGUACUUGGAUGGGAGACCACCUAGGAAGACCAGGUUCUGUGGGCA
This is a ribosomal RNA of Pteropus vampyrus (large flying fox), 119 nucleotides long. NCBI's taxonomy places the organism in Eukaryota, Metazoa, Chordata, Mammalia, Chiroptera, Pteropodidae. The record is from Ensembl.